Cinara cedri is the source of this 299-nucleotide non-coding RNA. NCBI's taxonomy places the organism in Eukaryota, Metazoa, Arthropoda, Insecta, Hemiptera, Aphididae. The record is from the annotation of a GenBank genome assembly.
GAGCGAGACGUAGCGCCGUUAAAUACGAGUAUAAAUAAAUCGUGUGAUGAUGUUUCGCACGCUCGUAUCUCUCUUGGAUAUCGAAAACACGGUGACAACGUCGCCGGCAGAUAGCGUUCUUGCGUGUAUUCGCUACGCCGCCGUAAGUUCGCCGUAAGAGACGGCCAAGGCGGAGACAACGUCGCGCGCGCAUCACGGCCCCGAAAUAACAAUAAUUUACCGUCGCCAAUGCGUAUGCAUUUUAAUAAUCAAUAUAAUAUACCUAUCUAUAACACCAUUAGCUGUUAGUAUUAUCUCCG